Molecule: long non-coding RNA, 2435 nt
Organism: Brassica rapa (field mustard)
Lineage: Eukaryota; Viridiplantae; Streptophyta; Magnoliopsida; Brassicales; Brassicaceae
Source: RefSeq, a predicted model, not a curated record
ACUUAUUGGGGGGGGGGGGGGGGGUAAUUAACUAAUUGUGACCAAUAACUUCAAACUGAAAUUAUUAGAAAUUUAUAAUUGGCAAAUAUUAGCACAAGAUGCUACAUGGUAUUUAAUUGUGGAAAAUAAUUAAUACCAUUUCACUAAUGUUCAAAUGUAAUUAGGUAAGAAAAUCUUUCUUUGUGUAUUUCUUUUGACUAUUAUUCUUUAUAGAAAUAAAUUGGUGGAUUAUGUUUUUUCUAUAAUUGACAAGGAAAACAUAUUUUAUGUUGACUACACAAUCUCUAUAUAUAAUUAUCCUAUACAAAGAAAAAUCAGAAAAUCAAGAAAAUACAUACAAAUGGCUAUCACCAACAAAAUUUCAAUCGCAUUUGUUCUUACUAUCCUUUGUGUCACAUCUGAUGUUCAUUGUAAUACAUAUGCUAGCCCUCCUACUCAUUGUGCUCCAUCUGCUAGCCCUUCUGAUGAGGGUCAAGAAAUAAAAUGCUUCACGUAUAAUCAGUGUGCAUUUUGGAAGUCAGGGGAGAGAGUCUGCGAUGGUAUGUGUAGACGUAUGGAUCAAUUUUUAUAUGGCAGUUGUGCUACUAAGAACAAAUGUUGUUGUUACUAAGCAUGCAUCAAAUAUGAAAUAAUUUGAUCACAUGUAAUGGUAUCUGCAUAAAAUAAUAAAAUAAUUAUUCUUCAUAAAUGGUUUAAAAUCAAUGAGAAAGAUUGAGAUCAUAAAAGAAAAUGGUAACAGUUGGAAGUCAAAUUAUAAACAAUAAAAUCCAUAAGUACCACAAGAGCUAACGAAUGAAUCAUGAACAUGGAUGACAGUCUAAUGGUCACAUUAGCUAGCUUCCUCACAACAGACUCGAAGCCUUGACAUGUCCAUCGCUUAACGAAUAAGAAAUAUACAAAGGGCCUUAAGUUAAAAACUAUAUUAAUGGGCUCUUAGUUAAUAGUUUACUAGGUGGAUUGUCCACACAUGUUGUGCAGGCUUUAAUAUAAUUUUUAGAUUUAUAGUUAUAUUUGAAUUAUUUAUAUUUCCUCAUAUAGGAAUAGCAUAUAUUAUGUUUAUGUAAUUAUAUGAAUGCUUAGAUAACUGAUUAUCUCUCUCUUUUUUUAUCGCUCAUUUUGUUUCUCUUUGUAUAUACCAUAUAAAAAUACAAAAAUAUUUUAAUUUCAAAUUUUCAUUAAAAAAAGUCUUGAAGACUUAAAAAUUUAUUUUUAAAUUUGCAAUGAAUAUUGAAGAACUGUUAUAAAUAAUUAAAACUAUUAAAAAUCUCACAUUAAAAGUUUUGUUAUCACGAAUAUACAGUUUUUGUUAUAGAAGAUAAAUAUUCUCAUAAAACCAUAUGACUACUAAGUUACAUUUAAUAGAUAUCCAUAUUAAAUAUAUGUAAAUAUCAUUUAAAUUUUUUAAAUCCAUACAAAAUAUAUAAUAGUGAUUGUUUAGAUAUAUUAUCAUAAAUGAUUAUAAAAAAAAAAUUGAUAUGAUUGCAUUGACAACAAUUUAAUUAUAUGCGUAAUAGUUAAUUGUUUUUCAAUUAUUGAUUAUUUUGUUAAUUUUAGAAUAUGUAAAACGUAAAAUAAAUAAUAGUACGUAAAAAUAAUUUUUAUAUACAAUGUUCAUUCCGCGCAAGAUGUAGAUCUUAAAUUAGUAGCAAAAUAUAAUAUAUCAAUUAUUUGUUAUUAUUACGUAAAUGAUGAAGCAUCAUGUAUCAAAGAAAACGCACAGAAAUCAUAUUAUAUUUUGCUACUAAUUUAAGCUGAAAUUAGCUAAUUGUGACCAAUAACUUCAAACUGAAAUUAUUAGAAAUUUAUAAUUGGCAACUAUUAGCACAAGAUGCUACAUGGUAUUUAAUUGUGGAAAAUAAUUAAUACCAUUUCACUAAUGUUCAAAUGUAAUUAGGUAAGAAAAUCUUUCUUUGUGUAUUUCUUUUGACUAUUAUUCUUUAUAGAAAUAAAUUGGUGGAUUAUGUUUUUUUUCUAUAAUUGACAAGGAAAACAUAUUUUAUGUUGACUACACAAUCUCUAUAUAUAAUUAUCCUAUACAAAGAAAAAUCAGAAAAUCAAGAAAAUACAUACAAAUGGCUAUCACCAACAAAAUUUCAAUCGCAUUUGUUCUUACUAUCCUUUGUGUCACAUCUGAUGUUCAUUGUAAUACAUAUGCUAGCCCUCCUACUCAUUGUGCUCCAUCUGCUAGCCCUUCUGAUGAGGGUCAAGAAAUAAAAUGCUUCACGUAUAAUCAGUGUGCAUUUUGGAAGUCAGGGGAGAGACUCUGCGAUGGUAUGUGUAGACGUAUGGAUCAAUUUUUAUAUGGCAGUUGUGCUACUAAGAACAAAUGUUGUUGUUACUAAGCAUGCAUCAAAUAUGAAAUAAUUUGAUCACAUGUAAUGGUAUCUGCAUAAAAUAAUAAAAUAAUUAUUCUUCAUAAAUGGUUUAAAAUCAAU